This 1911-nucleotide ribosomal RNA is filed under the name Triticum aestivum (bread wheat). Its description in RNAcentral is "partial small subunit ribosomal RNA". Lineage: Eukaryota; Viridiplantae; Streptophyta; Magnoliopsida; Poales; Poaceae. The record is from RNAcentral.
AUGUCUGGAACCAGCACCGGCGACGGCAACCGGCCGCUGCUAUUCCGGACCAUGAAGGUCAAGGGAAGCAUCCUGCAUCCUUAUAGGUUCUUGAUUCUUGUAAGCUUGGUCUCCAUCGUAGCCUUCUUCGCGUGGCAUGUAGAGCACAGGAACCACGAUGGCAUUUGGCUCUGGGCCACGUCCAUGGUUGCAGACGCCUGGUUCGGCUUCUCAUGGCUCCUCAACAACCAACUCCCCAAGCUCAACCCCAUCAAACGCGUGCCGGACCUCGCCGCCCUGGCGGAACGGCACAGCGAAGCCAUCCUUCCGGGAAUCGACGACUUUGUCAUGACUAUCAACCCCGUGGAUGAACCCGUCAUGUACACGGUGAACACCAUCCUCUCUAUCCUCGCCGCCGACUACCCCAUUGACAAGUACGCCAGCUACCUCUCUGACGACGAUGGCUCAUUGGUGCACUAUGAGGCAAUGAUCCACGUUGCUCAUUUUGCUGCUUUGUGGGUCCCGUUUUGCCGGAAGCAUUGCAUCGAGCCAAGGUCCCCGGAGAACUAUUUUAGGAUGAAAACCAGGUCGUGUGUCGGGGGUAUGGCAGGAGAGUUCAUGAGUGAUCACAGGUGUGUGCGCAAAGAAUAUGGUGAGUUCAAGGUGAGAAUAGAUUCCCUUUCUACAACCGUCCGCCGACGGUCUGAUGCCUACAACAAAGGAGAUGAUGGUGUACAUGCCACUUGGAUGGCUGAUGGGACACAAUGGGCGGGUACAUGGAUUGAGCAAGCUGACAACCAUCGUAGAGGACAACAUACAGGAAUUGUUCAGGUCAUGCUCGGCUAUCCAAGUUGUAAACCACAGCUUGGAUCUUCAGCGAACACCAAAAAUCCAAUUGACUUGAGCAACAUUGACAAAAGACUCCCAAUGCUCGUAUACAUUUCCCGGGAGAAGCAUCCCGGUUAUGACAACCAAAAGAAGGCAGGCGCCAUGAACGUGAUGCUCCGCGUCUCCGCCUUACUCUCAAAUGCGCCUUUUGUCAUCAACUUUGACUGGGACCACUACAUCAACAACUCGCAAGCUCUCCGUGACCCUAUGUGCUUCAUGCUCGACCCUCGCGGCGGUCAGAACACGGCCUUCGUCCAGUUACCACAACGCUUCGACGAUGUCGACCUGACAGAUCGCUACUCCAACCACAAUCGUGUCUUCUUCGAUGGCACCAUGCUUUCGCUCAACGGCCUCCAAGGGACAACCUACCUUGGCAUAGGCACCAUGUUCCAUCGAGUCGCACUCUAUGGCAUGGAGCCACCACGAUAUAGAGCGGAGAGCGUCAAGCUGGUACGUAAGGCCGCUGAGUUGGGUAACUCGACGCAAUUCCUGAACUCAAUACCGGAUGGCGCAAUCCAAGAGCGGUAUAUCACCCCGGUGUUGGUCGACGAGGGGUUUAGCAAUGACAUAACCACCUUGAUGACGUGUGCUUAUGAGGAUGGUAGUCCAUGGGGUAGAGUCAUCGGGUGGGUGUACAACAUCGCGACGGAGGAUGUGGUGACCGGAUUCCGCAUCCACUGGCAAGGGUGGCGUUCCAUGUAUUGCUCCAUGGAGCCAGCUGCAUUCCGCGGAAUGGCACCAAUCAACCUCACCGAUCGCCUCUACCAGGUGCUCCGGUGGUCAGGCGGAUCCCUCGAGGUGUUCUUCUCCCGCAGCAUCGAUCUGCAGCGCAUCGCUUACCUCAACAUGUCGAUCUACCCGAUCGCCACGAUGUUCGUCCUGGCCUACAGCUUCUUCCCGGUGAUGUGGCUCUUCUCCGAGCAAUCGUACUACAUCCAGAGACCGUUCGACAUGUACAUCAUGUACCUCGUAGCUGCCAUAGCCAUGAUGCACGUGAUCGGCAUGUUUGAGUUGAAAUGGGCGGGGAUCACGCUGCUGGACUAG